RNAcentral lists this ribosomal RNA (413 nucleotides) under Dasylepida ishigakiensis (white grub beetle). Its description in RNAcentral is "partial 12S rRNA". The record is from RNAcentral. Lineage: Eukaryota; Metazoa; Arthropoda; Insecta; Coleoptera; Scarabaeidae.
AGCUUGAACAGUAUUAGUUAUGUUCUUAAAAUUUAAAGAAUUUGGCGGUAUUUUAGUCUAUUCAGAGGAACCUGUUCUGUGAUUGAUAGUCCACGAUUAAUUUUACUUGUUUUAAAGGUUUGUAUAUCGUCGUAGUUUGAAUGUUUUAAAAGAAUUAAAAUGUUCAGGAUUUAUUAUAUUAAAAUAAAUCAGAUCAAGGUACAGCGGAUAAAUAAGGAGAAAUGGGUUACAAUAAAUUUAUUUAUAUGGUUAUGAUUAUUAAUAUGGUUAUAUAAAGUGGAUUUGAAAGUAAUAUUAUUUAGUUAAAUUAUAUGAUUUGAGCUCUAAAAUAUGUACAUAUCGCCCGUCGCUCCCAUUUUAAGGUGGGAUAAGUCGUAACAAAGUAGGCGUACUGGAAAGUGUGCCUAGUAAGA